This 569-nucleotide ribosomal RNA is filed under the name Enterobacter sp. G3O14(B). RNAcentral's name for it is "bacterial SSU rRNA". It matches the Rfam family "Bacterial small subunit ribosomal RNA", at positions 64 to 622 of the family's 1533-position model. The record is from RNAcentral. Lineage: Bacteria; Pseudomonadati; Pseudomonadota; Gammaproteobacteria; Enterobacterales; Enterobacteriaceae. RNAcentral also lists the same sequence under 1 other name.
GAACGGUAACAGGAAGCAGCUUGCUGCUUCGCUGACGAGUGGCGGACGGGUGAGUAAUGUCUGGGAAACUGCCUGAUGGAGGGGGAUAACUACUGGAAACGGUAGCUAAUACCGCAUAACGUCGCAAGACCAAAGAGGGGGACCUUCGGGCCUCUUGCCAUCGGAUGUGCCCAGAUGGGAUUAGCUAGUAGGUGGGGUAACGGCUCACCUAGGCGACGAUCCCUAGCUGGUCUGAGAGGAUGACCAGCCACACUGGAACUGAGACACGGUCCAGACUCCUACGGGAGGCAGCAGUGGGGAAUAUUGCACAAUGGGCGCAAGCCUGAUGCAGCCAUGCCGCGUGUAUGAAGAAGGCCUUCGGGUUGUAAAGUACUUUCAGCGGGGAGGAAGGCGACAGGGUUAAUAACCCUGUCGAUUGACGUUACCCGCAGAAGAAGCACCGGCUAACUCCGUGCCAGCAGCCGCGGUAAUACGGAGGGUGCAAGCGUUAAUCGGAAUUACUGGGCGUAAAGCGCACGCAGGCGGUCUGUCAAGUCGGAUGUGAAAUCCCCGGGCUCAACCUGGGAACU